This 370-nucleotide ribosomal RNA is filed under the name uncultured cyanobacterium. RNAcentral's name for it is "bacterial SSU rRNA". It matches the Rfam family "Bacterial small subunit ribosomal RNA", at positions 360 to 745 of the family's 1533-position model. The record is from RNAcentral. Lineage: Bacteria; Bacillati; Cyanobacteriota.
AUUUUUUCGCAAUGGGCGAAAGCCUGACGGAGCAACGCCGCGUGAGGGAGGAAGGCCCUUGGGUUGUAAACCUCUUUUAAUAGGGAAGAAGCUCUGACGGUACCUAUUGAAUAAGCCUCGGCUAACUCCGUGCCAGCAGCCGCGGUAAGACGGAGGAGGCAAGCGUUAUCCGGAAUUAUUGGGCGUAAAGCGUCCGUAGGUGGCAAUUCAAGUCUGCUUUUAAAGCGUGCAGCUCAACUGCAUAGAGGGAGUAGAAACUGAAUAGCUAGAGUGCGGUAGGGGCAGAGGGAAUUCCCAGUGUAGCGGUGAAAUGCGUAGAUAUUGGGAAGAACACCAGUGGCGAAAGCGCUCUGCUGGGCCUGCACUGACA